UUUGUAACAUACCUACUUAAAGAAAAUGAAUGCCCUUACAAUCUAUCGUAAAAGCAGGACAUUGAAUGUGAAUUGUAUUGUUAAAUGGGUGAAAAUGAAAGAAAAUGGAAUUGUACAAAUAUUUUUAGAUGCGGAGACUUUACAUCUAAAGGGACUUGCAUAUGACAGCAUUCAAAUACAAAG
Long non-coding RNA from Amblyraja radiata (thorny skate), 183 nucleotides. RefSeq lists it as uncharacterized. The transcript has 3 exons. The record is from RefSeq and is a predicted model, not a curated record. Lineage: Eukaryota; Metazoa; Chordata; Chondrichthyes; Rajiformes; Rajidae.